Long non-coding RNA from Paramisgurnus dabryanus, 1212 nucleotides. RefSeq lists it as uncharacterized. The record is from RefSeq and is a predicted model, not a curated record. NCBI's taxonomy places the organism in Eukaryota, Metazoa, Chordata, Actinopteri, Cypriniformes, Cobitidae.
UUCGUGUCUCAUCGCGUUAAACGAUCGCAGAACGAUUUAUUUCUCUUUUUCACCUCGAUCUUUGGCCUCGUGUGAUUUACCAAAACCAACAUGUGAAGUUACAACGCUGACGAAGGAGUUUCAUCAGUAGAGUGUGUCCUGGUAAACGUGUGCUCGGAAACAUGCAGAUUACAGUAUUUACAGAGCCGACCUUGAGUCACCCACUGAUGGAUAAUCUGUUUACCUAAAAACAGCCCACCACAAUCCAUGUUUACCAGCUGUGGAAGUGCAGGCCAAAAAUCUUCCUUCACCUGUGGGCCUCUACCCACAUGUAGAUAAGCACUUCAGGAGAAACCUGCCUGUGAUCUGCUAAGAUGCAAAGAUUCAACUCUGGCCCAUUGUCAUCCCAACACCUCAUCUGCCAUCAGUUUCGUUUAGUGUCGGUCUAUUGCAAAAGUUCUUAUAAACUUUAAAUGAGACUUUGUGUUAAGCAGGGGUUUCCAAACUUUUCAUUCCACAACAUAUUAAGCCCAGGAUACACAGCAGGAUUUUUGCAAUCCAAUAAGACCUUAUCACACUGUGUGACAAGGAUUGUUUAAACUUCAGCAGUAGACUGUCGAUGAAGACACCUAUUGCAUCUGAGGCUGCGACAUCCGUCAUCAGCAUGCGCUAGUGGUAAACAAAUACAGGUAUGCAGGUCGUAGAAACAAACACAUUGUUGAUGUGCGAUGAUCAUGCUGAACUUCUUACACUGUCAUAAAAUUAUCGUAGGUGUCUUUGGUCCAAGGACUGGGAAAACAGACGUCUUUAAACCUCUCACACUGUAUGAGAUAGGACCACCAAUUAAGAGCCACGAUCACAGAAAUCUCCACGAUUGUUUCACGAUUGGUAAUCUUUCAUCUGGGACAGCCAAAAAUCGUGCCGUGUAUUAGGGGCUUUAGACAGGUGUAAUCUUAUAGUAUAUUAAAACCAUUGCUAAUAAUUAAUUGGACAAACCAUCACUACAAUGCAACACUCACUAUCUUACGGUGCGACCCACAAGUGGGUCUUCACCCACAGUUUAAAAACCCUGAGUAUGAGAAAGAGUAUGUUGUAUUGUAAUUAAAGUCACAUCUAAGUGUUAUGGAACAGUUUGUCAUUAUAUUCACAGUAUUACAUGGUUCUUUCAGCAGUUACUACGUUACAGUGCUCUUAAAGUGUCCUGAUCAGCUUUGGGUCUUGUGAAGUAAUCUA